RNAcentral lists this ribosomal RNA (433 nucleotides) under uncultured bacterium. RNAcentral's name for it is "partial 16S ribosomal RNA". It matches the Rfam family "Bacterial small subunit ribosomal RNA", at positions 29 to 507 of the family's 1533-position model. The record is from RNAcentral.
AACGAACGCUGGCGGCAUGCCUAACACAUGCAAGUCGAACGAGACCUUCGGGUAUAGUGGCGCACGGGUGCGUAACGCGUGGGAACCUGCCCUUAGGUUCGGAAUAACUCCCCGAAAGGGGUGCUAAUACCGGAUAAUGUCUUCGGACCAAAGAUUUAUCGCCUUUGGAUGGGCCCGCGUUGGAUUAGCUAGUUGGUAGGGUAAAAGCCUACCAAGGCGACGAUCCAUAGCUGGUCUGAGAGGAUGAUCAGCCACACUGGGACUGAGACACGGCCCAGACUCCUGCGGGAGGCAGCAGUGGGGAAUAUUGGACAAUGGGCGAAAGCAUGAUCCAGCAAUGCCGCGUGAGUGAUGAAGGCCUUAGGGUUGUAAAGCUCUUUUACCCGGGAUGAUAAUGACAGUACCGGGAGAAUAAGCUCCGGCUAACUCCGUG